GACGAACGCUGGCGGCGUGCCUAACACAUGCAAGUCGAGCGGAGACACAAGGGAGCUUGCUCCCGAGUGUUUUAGCGGCGGACGGGUGAGUAACGCGUGAGCAACCUUUCUCUCAGUGGGGAAUAACACAGGGAAGCCUGUACUAAUACCGCAUGAGACCACAAUGCCGCAUGGCAUAGGGGUCAAAGAUUUAUUGCUGAGAGGUGGGCUCGCGUCCGAUUAGAUAGUUGGUGAGGUAACGGCUCACCAAGUCGACGAUCGGUAGCCGACCUGAGAGGGUGAUCGGCCACAUUGGGACUGAGACACGGCCCAAACUCCUACGGGAGGCAGCAGUGGGGAAUAUUGGGCAAUGGGGGAAACCCUGACCCAGCAACGCCGCGUGAAGGAAGAAGGCCUUCGGGUUGUAAACUUCUUUAGUAGGACGAAGAACGUGACGGUACCUACAG
This 446-nucleotide ribosomal RNA is filed under the name uncultured bacterium. Its description in RNAcentral is "bacterial SSU rRNA". It matches the Rfam family "Bacterial small subunit ribosomal RNA", at positions 28 to 484 of the family's 1533-position model. The record is from RNAcentral.